GGGUGGGUCAAUGACUCACAUGUGACCUCAACGACUCUGUAGGGUUCACACCCACAGAGUUUAAAGCCUGCAACUCCGCACCAGUCCAUUUAGAACUGAAGAAGUUUCUUGGAUAAGAGGUGAAACGUCUUCAACUUGGAUGACUUCACCGUGUUAUAUACAUGUUGUUUUCUCUCAUUAAUCCACACUGACAGGCGGGUCCGUCCCCUCUCCCUGCAUGCUGCAGUCUUCCCCUCAUCCAAAAUUCAUACUCUACCUUGUGCUGACAUGUUUACUUGCGCGGAUAUUCUGAAUUAUUGCAACCAGACGCAACCAAAGUUUCUCAGCUUAAGACACACAACACCUCCCAUGUACACUCAAAAGCUCUGGACAUUUCCUGAGGAGCACCUGCUGUUUUCAGAUGGAAAAAAUGCUAUGGUGGACAUGGGGCCUUAUUCGGUUCAAAAUAUUUGGACUGUCAAAUACGUGUUGUGCGGGGCGCCCGAACUCCCGUCUCAUGUUGAAGGAGGUGUCGUUGCUGCAGCGGCCAUGGGUUCGACUCCUACCCACAGACCUUGACUACAUGUCAUCACCCCUCCUUCUCAUCCUUUCAUGCUAUAUCUGUCCUAUCAAAUAAAGGCAAAAAAAACCCUUAAAAAUAUCUUUAAAAAUAAUAAAAAUAAUAAUACAUCUUUUGCAUUCUUGAUAACCAAUCCCCAUUGUGGGUUUGGUUGUCACCAUGGCGUUGGUUGUCCCUUUCGUAUUUAAAUGGGGGAAAAUUAAAAAAUGGAGGCCAGUGGAAAUGCAACAACCUUAACACAUCUCUGGUAUUGAGAGAACGUAAAAUGGAAAAAUCAUUCUUAUAAGUGCUUUUUUAUUCUUUUAUUGUUGCAUUACGAGAAAAAAUACAAAGAACCAUACAUGUGACAACCCACCCCGAAGAGAAAGUGAUAAGCAUCCUCAGCUGGGAUUUUUUGCUAGCGACUAAGACAACAACCAAAUGUUGUAGCCUAGCCAAGAAUGAGACUAUAGCUCUCCUUUCAUAUUUUUCAGUGGUAGAAACUGUUUUAUUAUAAAACCAUUGUGUAAAAACCUAGGAGAGAAAUGCACAAGUGCUAAAUAUUUUCAUUCUGACAUGAAAAUAAGUAAAUAUCCUCAGCUCAGCGUCAAGUGUCUCAUGCCUCAUGCCGCAACCUCAUGUCUCUCAUUUACCUCUAAGUAGGAGGUCGGAGCUGGGAAUGAUUUCACACACGAUUUGAUUCCCUAGAUUUUAUUAGCAAUACCAGUUCAAGCCAUAAAACUGGAUGGAGAGGCACUAGAAGAGGUGGACACGUAUACAUACCUGGGAAGCGUUGUCGGGAAGGAUGGAAGCAGUGACAAAGACAUUCAAGCAAGGAUAGGGAAGGCAAGAACAGCCUUUUUAAUACUGAAGCCAGCAUGGAACACAAACCACAUCUCCACAAAAACUAAACUCCGCAUCUUCAACUCCACCAUUAAACCAGUCUCACUCUAUGGGGCAGAAACAUGGAGAACUACAAAAGCAUCAUCAAACAAGCUCCAAACACUCAUUAACAGAUGCUUACGACACAUCCUGGGAAUGUACUGGCCUAACACCAUCGCAAACGAAGAGCUCUGGCAAACCACACAACAAGAACACAUUGAAACCCAAGUCAAAUGCAGGAAAUGAGGCUGGAUCAGGCACACCUUGAGAAAACCAUCCUCCAACACAACCAGACAGGCCUUAACCUGGAACCCACAAGGGAAUCGAAAGCCAGGAAGACCAAGAAACAGCUGGAAAAGGUCUGUCGAGGCGGAACUCAAGGAAACAAGAACAUCCUGGAAGGAAGCAGAGAAGAUCGCCCAACACCGAACUAGCUGGAGGAAGUUCAUGAAUGACCUAUGCUCCCCAAAGAGCAAAAGGGUUUAAGUCACGUAAGUCAGGUCUGAUCAGCAGGUGACCUUUGACCUCUGUCUCACGUGUCUACGCACAGCAGGUCCUGACAGGCUGUAACCCUCUGGUGUUUCAAAGCCUAAAGGUUGUUGCACACUUACUCAACGGAGACCACAACGGUGUUGAGCUCGUCGGACAACAUCCGGUUGAGGCUAUCAUAUGCCCCCUUCUCUGAGGACAUGAGAGAAAGAGAGAGAGAUGAAGGAGUGUGAAAAAGACAGCAAGAAUGAUCGUACUUACUGCCACUACCAAGCGCCCAGCCUCCUCCGUGGAAAAACAACAACCCUCUCCUCAGAUGACCCUCCCCCCCAGCCGGGGGCUCGUACACUCGGACUGGGACACCAGCGAAAGUCAUGUCACUGACUUUCACUCCGAGCAUGACCCCUCCGCUGGACUCAGAACCACGCAGCCCAGCCAUCAGGCCAUCGAAACCUUCUGUGGACUGCCUCACUGAUAUGAUGUAAUGGUCAGAGCCCAGCCAAGCCUGCAAACGGCUCUGAAGACAGAGAAGAAAUUCAAGACACAUUUAUGCGAAGAGUAAAAAAAGCAGACUGUCUCAACAGUCAGGGUCAACCAAGGACGGCAGACACAGCUGUCUGGCACAGUGUAGGCUCAGCAAUGUCAGCAACACCAAUGUAGCAAGGUGCAUGGUGGUCCUGAACGCAGCAUCCAGCAUCAUCAGCUU
Molecule: long non-coding RNA, 2615 nt
Organism: Epinephelus fuscoguttatus (brown-marbled grouper)
Lineage: Eukaryota; Metazoa; Chordata; Actinopteri; Perciformes; Serranidae
Exons: 6
Source: RefSeq, a predicted model, not a curated record